This is a long non-coding RNA of Manis pentadactyla (Chinese pangolin), 261 nucleotides long. RefSeq lists it as uncharacterized. The record is from RefSeq and is a predicted model, not a curated record. NCBI's taxonomy places the organism in Eukaryota, Metazoa, Chordata, Mammalia, Pholidota, Manidae. The transcript has 3 exons.
CUCAAGUCUCUCGAAGUCUUCCGCCUGUCUCUGCUUUCCAAGCCCACCGAUCCUCCAGAGCGCAGCACGUGGACGAACACCAACCAGCCGAGAAAACGGGAACGAAGAGGAGAAGCUGUGAUGCGGGAACAUCUGGCGUAAAACUGAGAGCGGCCGGAUGUGGAUCCCUGUGUUGUCCCACAAGUGGCUGGAAUCUCAAGUCUCUCGAAGUCUUCCGCCUGUCUCUGCUUUCCAAGCCCACCGAUCCUCCAGAGCGCAGCA